AUCUAUAAAAGUAUAACUAGCACCAAUGAGCUAGAACUAAAUGCUUAUUCACUUCUUCAUCCUAGAGCUUGUGACGAAACAUGAACGAACGCCAGCAUCUACAUGUUAUAGAACAAAAAAUGGUUAGGGAAAAAAUAAAAGCAAUCAAUGAAACAAAACAGGACUACACCAUAUCACAUGAAGUUCCAUGUGAGCUAGAAUAUGGCCAACUGCACGAUGCACUGCUGAUACAUGGAUAUAUGCCUACUAAUAUUAACAUACUGAUCUAAUACAGAGCAUAGGCAUCAUGCAUACCCUAAGCAUAUACAAACAGAUGGUAUUCAAGAUGAUGUGCUGCAUAUGCAAAAUAAAUCAAGAAACUACAACAGGGAACAGGAAACAGAGCCUCAAAGUGUUCACUUGUCAUGUUUUGUCUGCCAUUUUGAGAUCGACACGCACCAACCAAACAAACAUGAUUGCUUUAUUCCUUUUGAAUUAAAACAAGAAUAUGGUGUUCCACCUUAUACUACAACAUCAUCAGGAUUAAAACAACACAUUUGUAGUCAGAGUGCUGGAUGAGACAUAUCAAUUGAAACCAACUAGAACAGGUGAGCCAGGGAUAAGUAGCAGCAGGAAAAUAAUGGUACAUUCACAACUUCAGUUCAGGAAAAUAUCACCACAUGUAUCAGUAUACAUGCAGCAAUAGUAUCAUUGAGUACAGCAAAACAGCAGCUUGACCCAUAUAAGUCACAACUCUAAAGAAAGAAAGAAAGAAAGAAAGAACAAGUUUAACUAGCUAUGUAUUCAUAGUUGAGAGUUAAGCAAUUUGUUUGUUUAUGCUGUAACUGACAGACCUAGUACAAGAAACAAGCAAAGUGAAACAGUAUUGACCAAUUCGAUGGCAAUACAAGCUAAGUAACUUAGCUAGUAGACGACCAUCCAAUCCAUGAUGUAGCAGCAGGUGCAAAUAUGAUAUGAUGUGAAGAAGAAGCUAGCUGGAGAGGUUGGGGAUGAAACCAAAAUUACAAACCAUUGUCGGACCUCACAUCACCACUGUUUUAUCGUUUUAUAAGCAACCGGAAACUAUGCAGAGAGCAGACUGGACAGUAAAGGAAUUAUCAAGCAGAGGAAAAUAGCAGCGUGGCCAUCAACUCAUAGCCCUGAAGAAAGAAAGAACCAAUAGGGUCAGCUACUUAUUUAUUCAGAAUUGAGAGUUGAGCAAUCAUCAGAAAACUAAAGAUACUGCUUAGCUAACUAAAUAACACAUCAUUCAGUCACACGGUAUAAUUCUGACUAUAAUAUAAGCAAAGAACUAAAGACACUACGUACUUAGAACUCAAUUAAAAGUGAGAAUGAUUUAUGCAAACAAUAUGAUUUUAUUUGUUUAUAUUAGUAAAAACAAGUCUAUCAGGUAAGAUCAAGAACACUAAUACUAACACAGACAUAUCUUCCUUUAUGUGAACAAGUGUGCUUCCUUCAUUAAUUAGUAGUAAUUGUUCCAUGCUAAUACAAGCACACGCCCUGACCUAUCGAAGUCUGAAUCUAAUUAAAUCGCACCAUGGACGUGUCAUAUCACCAAGGCAAGUACUAGUAAAUCUUUGCACCAUUUUUUAGAUAGAUAAAAAUGUAGUUGUACUCAUCCUAACUAGCGUUGUGUAGCAGCGCUAGAAGAAAGGCGGUUUUCAGUAUACUACAUGGCGUGUCAAAAAAAUUCCAAAUUUCUAUUCUGUUAUUUCCAUGUACCAAACUCAAGCUACAGAACGAAUCACAUAACUGCUAUAGUGAUUCUAUCCAGAUUCUGAAACCAUGUGGAAGUAUAAAUGGAUCUUCACUAGCCAUUAUUUAAACUGAUCAGAAUUGCAAAAGGAGGUGAAUAUUUGCAUAUUUAAACUGAUAACUGAAGGGAGGAGGGGAGCAAGGUGGCCACCGUGGUUGUGGGCGACGGUCGCUGGCUCAACUUUGUCCAAGUGAAGGCAAUCUGGAGUCUGAAGAAACCUUCAGCAUUUGAAAAACUGCAACCUGAGAAUAUCGUAGGCACUCACACUGCACAUGCCAACUAGAGUUCAUUCUGAAUUUCUGUUAGACACAAAUCACCAAGGCACAACUAGGCAUAGCAAUUAUAUGUUCUAAAAGGGCUGCGUCAAACAAGAACGAAGUACAGAUAAGGGAUUUCAAGCCCUUGUGUGACGCCAAAAUGUUCUGUGCCAGCCCCAGUAUGCAGCUAUCCUUUUGCUGAAUGUUGAACCAUUUAGAUCGUUAACUAUCGCUGAAGAACAAAAACAACAUGUAAAAUGCCACCAUCAGAUCAGAACUCACGUAAACCUACAGACCAGGAAAAUGCAUCACGAGUUGUAUGCUCACCUUGUCACGUAAACCUACAGACCAGAUCAGCACGGCAGCGGUUGCUCAUCCGCCAUGCGUUUGAAGAUGAGGAACCUGAGCAACUCGAACUUGAAGUAUAUGAAGCUCCC
RNAcentral lists this long non-coding RNA (2450 nucleotides) under Triticum aestivum (bread wheat). RNAcentral's name for it is "long non-coding RNA (TAES_LNC017505)". Lineage: Eukaryota; Viridiplantae; Streptophyta; Magnoliopsida; Poales; Poaceae. The record is from RNAcentral.